Molecule: long non-coding RNA, 632 nt
Filed under: Homo sapiens (human)
Lineage: Eukaryota; Metazoa; Chordata; Mammalia; Primates; Hominidae
Description: non-protein coding LINC00941:2
Source: RNAcentral
GGGGACGUGGCUGAAGUCAGUCGGGCCGCCCGCUUGCUGCACGGCAGCCGUGGGACUGGCACAGGCUCCUCGGCAGCAUUAUGGGCAGCUGGUAGAGCGGCCACUUCUGAGAGCCGGAUGGGCCUUCCGAGGUCGGGCCGUGCCCCGCUGGGCAGCGCAGAGGGGGUGUGUAGGGCACGCGACUUGGAGCCAGGUCCAGACCCAUCCUGGCUCCUCUCAGGGCUCCUUCCCCUGCCCCCAUUCCACCCCAGCCCUGCUGGCUGUCCCGCAGGACCCAGCGCCGCGGUAGCCUUCUCUGAACUGCGGCUCAGGCGGAGGUGUCACUCCUGCCUCCAGCCCAGGAGGGCAGGUCAGGUUAUGCAACGCGUGCCGCGCGAUCUCCCCCCACCUCCAACCCCCUUUUCUCCCGGGUCCACACCGCAGUUCCCACCGCUCCGGGUGUCCUCCCCAGUGCGCCGCGAUUUUUGUGUCCAAGCCCCAGAGUCCCUCUGAGACCAACCCCCAGCCAGCACAGACUUCCUGCCUUCCCAGCUCGGAAGCGCCCUCGAGAAGUGUCUAAAGGAGACAGUUGAUAGCCAAACAACAGUUUUGGAUUCACUGACUGAUUAUGAAAGAAGCAGUAGACUGGUAUC